Molecule: ribosomal RNA, 138 nt
Filed under: uncultured bacterium
Lineage: Bacteria
Description: partial 16S ribosomal RNA
Rfam family: Bacterial small subunit ribosomal RNA
Source: RNAcentral
CCCGCCCGCCUACGGGAGGCAGCAGUGGGGAAUUUUGGACAAUGGGGGCAACCCUGAUCCAGCCAUGCCGCGUGAGUGAAGAAGGCCUUCGGGUUGUAAAGCUCUUUCAGCAGGAACGAAACGGCGGAUGCCAAUACC